This 857-nucleotide ribosomal RNA is filed under the name uncultured bacterium. RNAcentral's name for it is "bacterial SSU rRNA". It matches the Rfam family "Bacterial small subunit ribosomal RNA", at positions 524 to 1381 of the family's 1533-position model. The record is from RNAcentral.
UACAUAGGGUGCAAGCGUUGUCCGGAAUUAUUGGGCGUAAAGAGCUCGUAGGUGGUUCGUCACGUCGGAUGUGAAAAUCUGGGGCUCAACCCUAGACCUGCAUUCGAUACGGGCGAGCUAGAGUGUGGUAGGGGAGACUGGAAUUCCUGGUGUAGCGGUGGAAUGCGCAGAUAUCAGGAGGAACACCAAUGGCGAAGGCAGGUCUCUGGGCCAUUACUGACACUGAGGAGCGAAAGCGUGGGGAGCGAACAGGAUUAGAUACCCUGGUAGUCCACGCCGUAAACGGUGGGCACUAGUUGUGGGGACCUUCCACGGUCUCUGCGACGCAGCUAACGCAUUAAGUGCCCCGCCUGGGGAGUACGAUCGCAAGAUUAAAACUCAAAGGAAUUGACGGGGCCCCGCACAAGCAGCGGAGCAUGCGGCUUAAUUCGACGCAACGCGAAGAACCUUACCAAGGCUUGACAUGUACCGGAAUGCGGCAGAGAUGUCACAGCUGUAAAAGGUCGGUGCACAGGUGGUGCAUGGUUGUCGUCAGCUCGUGUCGUGAGAUGUUGGGUUAAGUCCCGCAACGAGCGCAACCCUCGUUCUGUGUUGCCAGCAUUUAGUUGGGGACUCACAGGAGACUGCCGGGGUCAACUCGGAGGAAGGUGGGGAUGACGUCAAAUCAUCAUGCCCCUUAUGUCUUGGGCUGCACGCAUGCUACAAUGGCCGGUACAAAGGGCUGCAAUACCGCAAGGUGGAGCGAAUCCCAAAAAGCCGGUCUCAGUUCGGAUUGGGGUCUGCAACUCGACCCCAUGAAGUUGGAGUUGCUAGUAAUCGCAGAUCAGCAACGCUGCGGUGAAUACGUUCCCGGGGCU